UACUCAUGCACCUUAAUCAUACACACAGAGGAAAUCUAUAAAGGUCUAGAAUAAAAGGAUUGUGUUUAAAUGCUGCUUUUAGGACACAAAGAUAUAUCUGAGAUUUUGAAAAUAAGUCAGUGAUUAACUGGGACUGCAUUGUAAAUGGAAUUUAUUUCAUGAGGAUCUAAAAGGACCUUUGGGGAUAUUGAAAACUUUAUCUUGAUUGUAGCAGUGGAUGCUUUAAUGUACACAUCUGUUAAAACUAGUCAUACAUUGCCAAAUGGCAUAAGAAUCCAUUUCUACUGUCCUGUUGACAGUGAUUACGCAGCCUGCUGUAAGAUAUCAAAGGAAACAAAGAACAGAGGGAAGGUGACAAGACUUUGAAUUAGAAGACUUGGGUUUAAGUAAAAGUACUGGUUCAAUCCAAUCGCUUAAUUUCCAGGAGGUGUUUUCUUCAUUUGCAAAAUGGACGUUAUAGAACUUAUUGUGUGAACUUCAGUUUAAAAUCAUACCAAAAUGAGAUUAUGUGAAUGCCAGUUAUUUGAAAACUUUAAGG
Long non-coding RNA from Mustela erminea (ermine), 538 nucleotides. RefSeq lists it as uncharacterized. The record is from RefSeq and is a predicted model, not a curated record. The transcript is spliced from 3 exons. NCBI's taxonomy places the organism in Eukaryota, Metazoa, Chordata, Mammalia, Carnivora, Mustelidae.